Fukomys damarensis (Damara mole-rat) is the source of this 137-nucleotide non-coding RNA. The record is from Rfam. Lineage: Eukaryota; Metazoa; Chordata; Mammalia; Rodentia; Bathyergidae.
GUCUACAGCCAUAUCACCCUGAAUGCACCUGAUCUUGUUUAAUAUCAGAAGCUAAGCAGGUAUAUAAGCAGGGUUGGGCCUGGUUAGUACUUAAAUGGGAAACUUUCACAUAGAGUAUCUGAGGAGUCCUGUAACUU